This 253-nucleotide ribosomal RNA is filed under the name uncultured bacterium. RNAcentral's name for it is "partial 16S ribosomal RNA". It matches the Rfam family "Bacterial small subunit ribosomal RNA", at positions 524 to 776 of the family's 1533-position model. The record is from RNAcentral.
UACGUAGGGUGCGAGCGUUAAUCGGAAUUACUGGGCGUAAAGCGUGCGUAGGCGGUUCUCCAAGUCCGUUGUGAAAGCCCCGGGCUCAACCUGGGAAUGGCAGUGGAAACUAGGGGACUGGAAUCUGGCAGAGGGGGGUGGAAUGCCGCGUGUAGCAGUGAAAUACGUAGAGAUGCGGCGGAACACCGAUGGCGAAGGCAGCCCCCUGGGCUGAGAUUGACGCUCAGGCACGAAAGCGUGGGGAGCAAACAGG